UACAUUGUGCGCUUGGGAGA
Molecule: unclassified non-coding RNA, 20 nt
Filed under: Mus musculus (house mouse)
Lineage: Eukaryota; Metazoa; Chordata; Mammalia; Rodentia; Muridae
Description: oocyte_clustered_small_RNA13298
Source: RNAcentral